RNAcentral lists this long non-coding RNA (32127 nucleotides) under Lynx pardinus (Iberian lynx). The record is from RNAcentral. Lineage: Eukaryota; Metazoa; Chordata; Mammalia; Carnivora; Felidae.
AGAAAAGUUGGAAGGUAAGAGACCACAAGCCUCAGAAGCGCUGAGCGAGAAUAAAAAUUAGGCAGUCUAUGGGGUGCCUUAGUGGCUCAGUCGGUUGAGCGUCUGGCUCUUGGUUUUUGCUGUGGUGGGUUGCAGCCCGGCUUUGGGCUCUGAGCUGACAGUGCGGAACCUGCUUGGGAUUCUUUCUCUCUCCCUCUGUCUCUGCCCCUGCCCUUCUUGCUCGCUCUCUCUUUCUCUCUCUUUCUCUCUCUCUCUCUCUCUCAAAAUAAAUAAAUAAAUAAAUUUUUAAAAAGAAAGGAAAAAGAAAUUGGGCAGCCUAUAGGUGAGCUCUGGGCAGCCCCUAGAGUUGUCCUCAGACUGGCCGCUCUCCUGCCUCUCGCUUUUCCUUACACUCUCGCGCCAAAUUUCUGUCCUGCUAAACAAAAUUGGCACUUUUUCCUUGCGGUUUUCUGGAACUCGAGCUUUCAAGGCACUAAACCCAAGUUCCAGAAACUGCUUGCAACCCUUCGUCCUGAUUUCCCACAACGCAGGCCCCCAUCCCCCUGCUUAGGCUGGGAUCCUGGACACCAUUUGUGCACUGUGAUAAAAAGGCCUCGAUUCGACUUAGCUCCUAGCUUUCAACUCCUGCUUCUCAGAAUCUACUGCUCCAUUCCAGCAUGCGAUCCAGCAGAAAUAAACGGAGCCUGCCAGGACCUUAGACUCCAAAUAUGUCAGCGUCACCAAUUUGUAAAACAACCUAAUAAAAUCCUUCCCUGGCUGUGAGAACAAAAUAGCAUUUUGAGACAAGUACAGGAUAUGUUAAAACAGAGUAUUUUUGUUAAGUCAGACAUCGAAUAGAAUUUGUGAAAGAGUCCUUAAAAAGGCUGUUGAAACGUUGCUUUGAAGUUAUAAUCAGUGAUCCCGUUGUUAAAAUGGUGUGUAGGGAUAUGGAUGGUGGUGGCGAGUUUGUGUGUGUGGAAAGAGGGUAUGUGGAAACUACUCAAUUUUGCUGUGAAACUAAAAUUCUAAAAAGUAAAGUUUUUAUUAAUUUAGAAAAAUAAUAGUAAGAACAGAAAAUAUAAAAACCACCAUUAUGGGGCUCCUACUAUAUGCUAGUGGUAAAGCUGCUUUGAUUGCUGCUGUGUCUGACUCUUGAGCCGAUUGUGAAGAAAAUACAUAAAACACUACAUCAAAUUACCUGGCCAGAAUUUUGGCCUAUUGGAAAAUGCACGUGACAAGGCUGUUAGGAGACCUGAUUUCUAGCAUCAGCUCUCCACUGGCUCCUUGUUGAGCCAUACUUCCUUGACUUCCUUGAGCAAUGAUUCUCAGCCUUAAAGGCUCAUACAAAUGAUCUGGUGAUCUGGUUAAAGGCCAACUGCUGUUUCAGGAUAUCUGGGUGAAGUCUGAGAUUGUGCAUUUUUGACCAUGACCCAGAUGAAGUCCCUGUUGAUCCAGGGAUCACGCUCAGAAUAGCAAAGGACUUGAGAUCCUUUCAUGCUCUGACCCUCACACUCAGUAGUUCUUUCCCCUCUAACCUUAGUGCCUCUACUCUCAAGAAAUUAUUAAAGGAUCUGUCAAAAAGGAGAGUGACUAGCGGCACCUGGGUGGCUCAGUUGGUUGGGUGUUGGACUCUUGAUUUCGGCUCAUGAUCUCAGGGUUCGUAAGAUCAAGCCCCGCAUCAGGCUCUGCAGUGAUGGCACAGAGACUGCUUGGGAUUCUCUUUCUCUCCCUGUCUCUCUACCCCUUCCAUGCUUGUGCUCUCUCUCUCUGUCUGUCUCUCUCUCUCUCUCUCUCUCUCUCUCUCUCUGUCUCUCUCUCAAAAUAAAUUAAAAAGAAAAAGGAAAGGGGCAUUACUAAAAAUUCCUAUCUUGAGGCAAAAUUAAAAAUAAAAACUAUUUAAACUAUGCUAGUAAUGCCUCUAGAAAGAUAUACAAGUAAGAGUACUUUCCUUCAGAGAGGAGGACUAGGUGGCCCAAUUACAGGCAUGGUGGGUUAACUUUACUAUAUACUUUCAUACCUUUGGAAUUUUUACUAAGUGUGUAUUUUCAAUUAAAAAAAAUUUUUUUUAAUGUUUAUUUAUUUUUGAGACAGAGAGAGACAGAGCAUGAAUGGGGGAGUGUCAGAGAGAGAGGGAGACACAGAAUCUGAAGCAGGCUCCAGGCUCUGAGCUCUCAACACAGAGCCCAAUGCAGGGCCCGAACUCACGGACCGUGAUAUCAUGACCUGAGCUGAAGUCAGACGUUUAACCGACUGAGCCACACAGGAGCCCCAAUUUUUAAAAAUUACUCAUUUUAAUGAUCAUUAAAAAAGUGGUUAAUAUGCCAUCUGUGAGUAAACAAGUCACUAAAUUAUUGGUUUGCAUCUAUUAGCAUAACAGAUUAAAAACAAUUUUUUUAAUGUUUAUUUUUGAGAGAGACAGAGCAUGAGCAGGGGAGGGAUAGAGAGAGAAUGAGACACAGAAUCCGAAGCAGGCUCCAGGCUUGGCUGUCAGCACAGAGCCCGAUGUGGGACUCAAACCCAUGAACCAUGAGAUCCUGACCUGAGUGAGGUCAGAUGCUUAACCAACUGAGCCAUCCAAGUGCCCGUAACAGAUUUUUUUUUAAGUUUACUUAUUUUGAGAGAGAGCACGAGAAGGGGAGGGGCAGAGAGAAAGAGGGAGAGAGAGAAUCCCAAGCAGGACGCUGAUCUAGGGAUCACACUUGGAAUAGCAAAAGACUUGAGAUCCUUUCAAACUCUGACACUCACACUCAGCAGUUCUUUCCCCUCUAACCUUAGUGCCUUUACUCUCAAGGAAUUAUUAAAGGAUUUGUCAAAAAGGAGAGUAACUAGGGGCACCUGGGUGACUUAGUUGGUUAAGCAUCCGACUCUUGAUUUUGGCUCAUGAUCUUAGGGUUCAUAAGCUCGAGCCCUGAAUCAGGCUCUGCAGUGAUGGUGUAGUAACUGCUUGGGAUUUUCUCUCUCCCUCUCUCAUGCUCUCUCAAAAUAGAUAAAUAAGCUUUUUUUUUUUUUUUUAAAGAGGGGUGCCUGGGUGGCUCAGUUGGCUCAAUUUCUAUAUAACCGGCUCAGGUCAUGAACUCAGGUUCAUGAGUUCCAGCCCUGCAUGGGGCUUGCUGCUAUCAAUGCAGAGCCCACUUCGGAUCCUCUGUCCCCCUCUCUCUCUGCCCCUUCCACGAUGGUUCUCUCUAUCUCAAAAUAAAUAAAUAAACUUUAAAAAAAAAUGGCGCGGGGGAGACAAAGUGAAUUGUUGGAGAAGCUAUGUAGAAGCAGUGAGCUGACCAAGAAGGGAGAGAGACAUAAUUUAUCCAGGUGGAGAGAAGACAGAACAGUAUAGGCCCGAGAAAAGACUCAGAAGAGAUGGUGACCAGGACCCUGGAUAUUUAAGCCAUGCAGUUGCAAGACAACUGAACCGUAGCAUUUUCCUCAUGUUUUAAUUUUAAAAUCUGAUGAUUUUGCUGGCCCCUGCUUCAUGAUGUACAGGUGGUGAUUGUAAAAAUAACUGUAGCGAUUUUGGGGUUUUCUCCACCCACCAUUUAGCAAGAAUUAUGCAAUAUCAAGAAUUCAAUCUUCUGAGUAAGUCAGUUUCAUUAAAGUUUUUUUUAGCUCUCCUGCUGUGAAACAGCCACCAGCACUACCUCGUGAUUGCCACUAGAGGGACUAGAACCAAAGGAAUCAUCAAGCUUCACUGUGUUAGAUUCCUACUGCAUACUAGAUUCUUACUCAACAUUCUGCAUUUUAAGAAACACUUUUUUUGAAGCAUAUUUCUUAUUUAUGCAUUUUUAAAUACUUUUAAAAAGCAAGGCUCCUCUGAAAGAUAUAAAAUUUAAAGAGUACUAUUGACCAUUAUCCCCAAUACCCACCAACAAAAUAGCCACUUAAUAAUGUUGAUUCCUUUUUUUUUUUCCUAAUGUUUAUUUAUUUUUGAGAGAGAAAGAGCGUCAGCAGGGGAGGGGCAGAGAGAGAGAGAGGGAGACACAGAGAAUCCAAAGCAGCUCCAGGCUCUGAGCUGUCAGCACAGACCCCAACACAGGGCUCAAACUCUCAGACCGUGUAAUCAUGAGCUAAAGUCUGACGCUUAACUGACCAAGCCAUCCAGGCGCCUCUAUAAUGUUAAGAUGUUUGUGUGUCCUUCCAAAUAUUUUCAAUUUCUAUAUGAAUAUAUGUAUUAUUCUUUUUUUUUUAAGUUUAUUUAUUUAUUUUGAGAGAGAGAGAAAGCACACAAAUGGGGGAGGAUCAGAGAGAGAGGGAGAGAGAGAAUCCCAAGCAUGCUCCAUGCUGUCAGCACAGAGCCUGAUGCGGGGCUCAAACUCACACACUGUGAGAUCAUGACCUGAGCUGAAGCCAAGAGUCAGACAUUUAACUGAUUGAACCACCCAGGUGCCCCAAACAUAUGUAUUAUUCUUUUAUUUAAAACUGUGAUCUAUCUUCUGACUACCACUGUGACUUUAUCUCCUACCACCUUCCCCCUGUUAUGCAGACUGUAUUCCAGGUCUUCAAACUUGCCAACUUGUUUCAGCUUUAGGACCUUUGCACUGACUAUAUUAUUUUCCUGGACCACUCUUUUCCCACAUUUUUCUCAUUCGGGUGUCAGCUUAUUUGUCAAUUCUCAGGCUUUUUGUGACAUCCAUCAAAUAUUCCCUACCGAAGUCAGUCUCUGUUACCUUUGUUUAUUUAUGUACUUGCAUACUUAUGCACUACUAAAAUGUAAUCUUUAUGACAGCCAGAGCCAUAGCUGCCUUGUUUACUUCAUAUCCCUAGAUUCUAGAACAUAAAUUAGGGACUCAAAAGGUAUCUGUUAACUGAAUAAGUGAAAAAGUGUUGUACAUACUAUUCUGCAACUUGUUUUUUCACUUAAUAUAUCUUGUACAGGUUGUAUUUUACUUUUUGCGGAUAAGCUUUAUUAUUUCAGUUAUAUUCUGUAUUUAAUUUUUUUAGAUAUUCACAUGACUCAAAAAUAAAACAAUAUAAAAGGGUAUUCAAUGGAAAGUCUUGCAUUUACUUCUACCAUCUACCUAGUUCCCACUCAACCAGAUAAUCAUUUAUAUUCAUUUAUUGUGUAUCCUUCCUUAUGCAAAUACACAUAUACUUAUUAUUUUCUUCCUUUUUUACACAAAAGAGUGGCAGGUUAUGUAUACUGUUUCUAUACUUCAUUUGUUUAACCAAGCACAAACCCAGAAUUUAUAUAUGGAUUUAUAAUUUAUUUUACUCAAUUCUCUAUUAAUGGACGUUUAGUUGUUUUCAAUUUUUAAUCACUGUUUUCAAUUGUAAUCAUUGUUGCAAUAAUUAUUUUCAUGCUCAAUAAAUGUACAGUAGAAUAAAUUCCUGGAAGUGGGAUGACUGAAUAAAAAGGUGUGCGUAUAUUGAAUCAUGAGCGAUCUUACCAAACUUCCCUCUGAGAAGAUUGCCUCAAUUUUUAUCCCCACCAACAGUGUACAAGAGCACUAACUUCCCCACACUCUUUCCCAUCAUAAGUAUUAUUGACUUGAAAAUAUUAUUUCAUCCAAUCUGAUGAAUGAAAAAUGGUUGCUCAUUGUUUUGAUUCUCAUUUCUUUAAUCAUGAAUGAAGUUGAACACCUUUUCAUAUUUUAAAAAUAGUUUUAUUGAUACACAUUUCACAUGCCAUAUAAUUCACCCACUUAAAGUCUAUUUAGUAUAUUCACAACCAUCACCGUAAUCCAUUUAAAACAAAUUUUUUUUAAUGUUUAUUUUAUUUUUGAGAGAGAGAGCACAAGCAGGGGAGGAGCAGAGAGAGAGGGAGACACAGACUCCAAAGCAGGCUCCAGGCUCUGAGCUGUCAGUGCAGAGUCCAACAUGGGGUUUGAACUCACGAACCAUGAGAUCAUGACCUGAGCUGAAGUCAGACACUUAACCAACUGAGCCACCCAGGAGCCCCACCAUAGUCCAUUUUAGAAUAUUUGCAUCACCUCAAAUAGAAACCUGCAUCCUUUUGUUUUUGUUUUUAAGUGAGUUCUAUGCCCAGUGAGGGGUGUGAAUUCAUGACCCUGAGAUCAAGAGAGUCACAUGUCCCACCGACUAAGCCAGCCAGGUGCCCCAAAACCUGUAUCCUUUAGAUAUUAGUCCCUUUCCCCCCUGUUGCCCCAGGUCCUAAGAAACCACUAAUCUCCUUUCUGUCUCUACAUAUUUGCCUUUUCUGGAUAUUGCAUAUAAAUAGAAUCAUAUGUGUUUUUUUAUGACUAGCUGCUUUCACUUAGCAUAAUGUUUUUAAGAUUCAUCUAUGAAUUCAGCAUGUAUAGUGAUUCAUUCCUUUUUAUGGUCAAAUAAUAUUCUGUCAUGUGGAUAUACAUUUUUUAAUCCACUUGCCAUUGAUGAACAUUUCUGUUGUUUCCACCGUGUAUUUUUAUAGCAACAUACAAUUUUAGAGCAGCCAAGGACCUUAGGAUUGUGAAGAUGAUACUACAUUUAGCAAAUAGUCUCCUUAACUACUGAGUCAUUUCUGGUGGGUAAAACAUUAGGCUGGGAAACACAACACUGAAAAUAUCAACCUUGCCACAGCAGGACUCUCUGUGUAAUUUUAAUGUUUCUUUUCUUUGAGCCUUAGUUUGUGUAUUAGCUCAGGCUGCCAUAAUAAAAUACCAUACACUGGGUGGCUUAAACAACAGGAGUCUUUUCUCAGUUCUGGAGGCUAAGAAGUCUAAGAUCAAAGUGACGGCCAAUUUGGUUCCUUGGUGAGGAACUUUUUUCUGUCUGCAAAUGGCCACCUGCUCACAGUCCUCAUGUGGCAGAGAGAAGGAGCUCUAGUCUCUUUCUCUUAGUCUUCCUUGGAGAUACUAAUCCCAUCAUGGGGGCUUCACCCUCAUGACCUCAUCUAAACCUAAUUACCUCCCAAAUACCCUACCUCCAAAUCUCAUUGCAGUUGGGCAUUAGGGCUCCAAUGUGUGAAUUUGGGGGGAGAGGGCACAAGCAUCAGUCCAUAACAGUUUCCCAAAUUUAAACCCACUUCUACCUACACAUCAACUAAGGAAGAACGAAAUAGGAUCAAGAUCUUGAAUUUCUUAGAGAAGUGCUUACCCAAAAAAAGGAAGUGGAAGAAGUUAACUAAUGAAGAAAUAGGAUAACUUCUACAUAGUUCCUGUGGAGUAUAUACCUCAAAUAUGAAUCAUGCUGAUAUGUCUGUCCUUGAGUUCUUACGACAGACUAAAUCAAGCAGUUAGACUUAUAAUAGAUAAUUUACUAAAUAAGGUGAUUUAAAUGCAAUAAGCGUUCGCGUGGAAGAUCACCUAAGAAGUAUCACAAAAUGCGGAACCACAGGCUAUGCCUACUGUAAUAGUAUUUCUCAGCACUGGUAUUUUGAAUUUUUUAAAAAUGUUUAUUUGUCUAUGAAAGAGAGAGAGAGGGCGGUGGACAGAGGAUCCUAAGCCAGCUGGUGGCAGCGAGCCCCAAUGUGGGGCUCGAACUCACAAACUAUGACAUCAUGACCUGAGCCGAAAUUGGAAGUUCAACUGACUAAACCACCCAGGUGCCCCAGCACUGGUACUUUGGAUGACACAAGGUUAAGACUGUCUCAUGCAUUGUAGGAUAUUUAACAUUCUGGUGCUCCAAAUUAAUAAAUGCCAAUAGUGGUCUCCAAUUAUUGUGACUAUGGAAAAUUCCCUCUUACUAUUUCCAAAUGCUACAUGGGGGUGAGGUAGUACUGAUGAAAUAUUCUAGUCCAGCUCAUGCAUUAUAUAAAUGAGGAAAACAGUCCAGAGAAGUCAUUGAGCCAGAUGAUCUGACUUCUUCCCAAAUGGUCUUUCCAUUGUUGUAUAUAACACUUGCUCCUCACUCUCACUACUCAAAGUUAAAGGAGAAGCCGUUCUCCACUGAAAUCCUACCCUUACUUGCCCACAUCUUUCUUGCCUUUCCUUUCUAUCCCUUUUUUCUCAUUUUUCAAUACAAUAGUCCAGUUAAACCAUUUCAUCCAUUUAUUUUAACACAUUUAUUGGACACCUAAUAUGUUUCAUGUUCUGGGCUAGGGGCUAGAAACACAGUGGUGAACAAAACAGACAUGGCCACUACCCUUGUGGAUAAACUGAAAGAGAUGAACAAUUUUAAAGUAGAAUAAACGCAUAUAGAUAUAUAAUUAUUAAUUGUGAUAGUGACAGAAAUGAAAAGAACAAAGGGGGAGCUAAUUUGGAAUUGAGGCACAAGGGAAUACCUCUGAGAGGAAGUAACACUUAAGAUGAUGCCUGAAGGCCAAUAGGCGUGAAGAGGAAUACAGCUGAGCAAAGACCCUGAGUUGGAAGGUGCUGGGAAAGAAGGCCUUUGUGGAUAGAACACCAUUAUAAUGAGCACAGGGUAGAGUUGGGAGACAGUGCUGGAGGACUGACUGAGAGGGAUACAGGGCCUUGCUGGCCACAAGGAGGGGUCUGGAUUUUAUUCCAAGAGUAAAUAUCCAAUUUGUGUCUUAAAUUUUCAGUAUAUGUGCUGCCGAAGUGAGCACUGUGUCUUAAAUUUUUAAAGAGCAGGGAUGCCUGGCUGGCUCAGUCGGAAGAGUAUGUGACUCUUGAUCUCAGGGUCAUGAGUUCAAGCCCCACGUUGGGAGAAGUAGAGAUUACUUAAAUAAAUAAACUUUAAAAAUAAGUAAAUUUUAAAAGAUCACUGUGAUAAAGCUCAUGAUGUGAGAUUCCAUUUCAGCGAAGUGCAAGAACUGGCAAAACUGAUGUAGGGUAAUAAAAGAAGAGCAGUUCCCUGAUGAAUGGGGAGAGUGGGAGACUGAAGGGCAUAAAGAAACUUCCUGGGGUGAUGAGGGCCAUAUGGAUGUAUUCAUUUAUCAAAACUCAUCAAAAUGUUAAGCUAAUAUUUGUGCAUUUUACUGUAUGUACUUUUUACCUCGAUUAAAAACAUAGAGGUCAUUCUGGCCACAGGUACUUUAGUGAAGCAGCUUUGUCAAUGGCGAGUUGACAAGCCAAGAAAGAAUUCAGAGCCAAACUCUUAAACAAGCAAGUGUUUAAUAGCAAUUCAAACAAAGGUACAUUCUGGAGACGAAAAGUGGGCAUGUCCAAAGGUGGCAGAUUCCCCAAGAGGGAUCAGGACUGUUUUUCUUUCUUUUUUUUUAAUUAUUAUUUCUUUUAAAAUGUCUAUUUAUUUAUUUUGAGAGAGAGAGAGAGAGGGAAUAGGUGUGUGUGCAUGGGGAAGGGGCAGAGACAGAAGGAGAGAGAAAAUCCCAAGCAGGCUGACAGCACAGAGCUCUAUGAGGGCCUCGAUCUCACGAACCUGGACAUCAUGACCUGAGUCAAAAUUAAGAGUCCAAAAUCAACAGUUGGGCACUUAACCGACUGAGCUUUUAUUAUUUCUUUUAAAGCAGUCUCUAUGCCCAGUGUGGGCUAGAACUCACAGCCCCCAAGAUCAAGAGUCUAGGGCUUUACCUACUGAGCCAGCCAGGUACUCCUUUUUUUUUUUUUUUUUUUUUCUUAAAUGUUUAUUUAUCUUUAUGCUGGGUUCAAACCCUCACACCACGGGAUCAUGACCUGGCUGAAGUCGGGCACCUGACAGCCACCCAGGCACCCUGCCAGGUACUCAUUUUUAUGUUUAGGUAGGUUUUGGGUCAUACUGAGGGUGGUUCUUGACCAAGGUUGCAGCCAAUCAGCUAAGGGACUCCUCCUGGUUGAGAGGGGCAGUUUGGAGCCCUCUGUGGUCUAUGUCAGAAGUGUCAAGGCAACUUCUCCCCGCCCCCGCCCCCCCUCCCGCCCCCAGGGUGUAGGGGGUAAAAACCACAAUGUAAAUAUAUCAUAAUGAAGCUAUAGGUUACUGUAGAGUCGUGAUCCUAGGGAAGACUGCAUGCAUCUUUUGGAACUUGGUUUCUGCCCUUUUACCUGUCGGAUAGCAUUUCUUCUUCAUAUCUAACUAACUGCAUAGUCUAUCAGUAUCAGGUUCAAACUACAUAAAAUUGAGGUUAUAGACUUUCUUUAAAUGUUUAUUUAUUUUGAGAGAGAGGGACAAACCAGGGGAGGGGCAGAGAGAGAAUCCCAAGCAGGUUCCAUGUGGAGGAGCCCAGUGCAGGGCUUGGACCCACAAACUGCAAGAUCAUGACCAGAGCCAAAACCAAGAGUUGGAUGCUUAACCUUAACCUAUGAGCCACCCAGGCACCCCAUAGACUUUUUUUUUUUAACCCAAGGCCCAGAAAGAUUAAUAAGUUAGACUCUCUCAGGCCUCAAAGAACCAUUUAGUUCAUUUAAAACUACUUUGCUCUAAAAGGAAGGGGGUGGGGGGAGGGAGUCAACUAGUAAAUAUGAAGAAAUACCUUCUACAUAGUUCCUGUGGAAUGUAUGCUCCAAUUAUCAAUUAUGCCUAACACUACAUCUACUCUCGAGUUUUUACUGCAGACUAAAUCCAACGUUUUGACUUAUAAAUAGAAUAUGUUAAAUUCAUUGAGUGUCUGCCUGGAAGUUAAGACUUGGGCUUCCCAGUUCUCUACAAAAGUGCCCAUCAGUGGAGCUUCACAGGAUACUAGAAUCAGCUGGGCAGCUUUAAAACUAUUACUGCCUGGAACCCCCCACCCCCACCCCACCCGGAUAUGUCAAUGUAAUCAGUCUGGGGUCUAGCCUCAGCAUUGAAAUUUUUAAGCAGUCCAAGGCCAGAAAGUAGCCAAGGUUGGAAACAAAUGCCUGGGCAAUUCCACCUGGAUUUCUUUCUUCUAUCUUUAAAACGACUCCCAUCAAAGAUUGACUGAGCAUUUUUGCAUAAUAAGGGCCCUAGAAACUGCCAUUGCCUUCUAUUGAAUUAUUUAAAGAAAACUUUAAGAUUUAGAUUUUGAUACCUUCCCAAUCCCAAGUCUCAAACUGUUUUAGUGCUGACCUGGAAUCAAACCGCUCUCCAGUGCCCUAUCCCCACUUUCGGGGCUCUGAGGCCCAGAUUACAUCUCCCUCUCUGGAUAUAAUCUGCUGGGGGUUCAGUGCCCCAUUCCCCUUGGCAAUGCACUAAGUUUGCUUUUGAGUGUGUUUUCUGAUUGACCUCUUCCAGCUUGCUAAGUUGAAGGUUUUUUUUGUCUCCCAUAUCCAGCUGUCUUUGGCCUAAGAGGGAAGGAAUUAAUGAGAGAACAAACCCUUCCUCCCUCCUCUUUGCCCAGAAAGCUAGAUGGGAGAAUAGGGGAACUGCAAAUCCCAGUUCAAUGGGGUCGGUACAGACCAAUUACAUUGAAGCCUCAGGCAAAGCAAAACUACCUCCUCUGUCCUGUUGUGGUUUAUUUGAAGGCACAUUAAUGUUUGCCCCCCACAUUCCCCUCAAAAAGUCUCCCUCAACUUGUUCAGGAUUUAUGAAAUUUCUUCAUUUCCAUCAUAUCUGUAUAGUGUCCCCAGAAACUUAGUUCAUCACAAUACUCAUUUGUUGGGCACCUACCAAGUGCCAGGUUAAAACAUUUCCAAGUCCCGAUAUUUAAUUUACAGAAUAAAGUGCUCUCUGUAAAACACAUCCAACUAUGUACGGUACUGUUUUUUUUUAAGUGUAUUUAUUUAUUUUGAGAGACAGAGAGUGCAGGGGAAAGGCAGAGAGAGAGAGAGAGAGAGAGAGAGAGAGAGAGAGAGAAAAUCCCAAGCAGGCUCCUUGCAGUCAGCACAGAGCCCAACAUGGGGCUUGAACUCAAGAAGCGUGAGAUCACUACCUGAGUCAAGAUCAAGAGUCAGCCACUUAAGCAACUGAGGCACCCAGUACACCCAGUACCUUUGUUCCUUGGACCGUGCAAAUGCACUGUUUGAGGAUUUGUAUUAUAAAAUGGUGAAAUCCUGUGAUUAAAUGUUCUUUUGAAUAUGUAAAUAUGGAUAUAAUGCAAACUUCCUAAGUAAAAAACUCAAGAAUAGCAUGAUUUCAGAGCUGGGGAGCUGAGUCCAUUGCAAAUAUUGUUGAUACUUUAGCUGCUAAACAAAAAACAUUUCACCACUGACCUUUAUCCAAAUUAGUCUUGAAAAAUGUGAUGUUUGAAUUGACGUGAGCAGGAGCACAGAUGUUGUUUAAAACAAAAUACAUAAUCCUAUGUUUGAAUUUUCUGUACAUGAGUCCAUUUCCCCAUCUGAACUGUGAAUUCCCAAAACUCAGGAACCUGCUUCUCGUAUCAGCAUACCCUUCCCCCAAGUACAGAACGUUUACAUGAGGUAGGUGUUCAAUAAAUCUGUGUUGGAUUUAUAGUGCUUAGAGAAUGGUUCAUUUCACAUGGUAAUUUCUGAAGUAAUGUGGUGGUUAAAAGAUGGCCUCUGGGAAAUAAAUAUACUGGAGAAUUAUGAAGCAACAAUCUGACGGGUUAUCCUGCCCUCUCCAGGCAGAGGGACACCAUUUCUGGCAGACCAGAGUCUCUGGAGCCCAUUGAGAGGCCAUUAUCUACUUUUCUAUUACCUGCCUCACCCGGUGUUAAGAAAAGGGAGGAAGAGAAGAAUAAAGAUCAUGAGAUACAGUCAUUGACCAGGAUUAACUCAUAUUCUAGGGCUGAGGUCUUCAAACUGGAGUACUGGAAGACUUGACAGGGAAUAUGUAGGUAUAUAUAAUUUAAGAAAAUUAUAUGCCCAUACCCUCACCUAUACCUUUUGGUAGCCUGAUUCAGGCUAUCCUUCUCCAUUUCCUUUUCAUGACAGCUUUCAUACUUACAAAGAAAAGUCACGCCCACCUUGGUCUGCAAUACUACUGCAGUGUAACAAUGUCCCAAGUGUGACAACUUCUAAGAUGCCAUACAAAUGGACAGUAGUUGGAAAUGGACCAAUUUAAUGUUUUAUCAAGAUGCCAUAAGCCCUCCUUAGCUUCCUGCCUUUUCCAGACUUAAACAUAUUUCUGUUAAGGGUGGAUCACUGAUUUAUAAAUGGGGUAUACUGGCCUUGGGAUGUUCUGAAAUCAGUGUGGACAAUGGGAGCAAUGGUAAUUCGUGUUUAACCUAAUUUCUUUCAUCCUUCAGCUAUUGUCCAAGAAUGUCUUUUCAUGAAGGAAAAUCUGAGAAAAGCAAAGAGAACUUCAGUUAGAAAUACUGAAAGGUUUAAAAUAGCUUUAGUAUGAAUUUAAGUUUUAAAAAUUCUCUUUCAUCUAUUACAGCACUAAUCCCCAGGAUGUGUCAUUAGCUGGAAAGAAAAUACAGUUGAGUAGCUGAAGUAAUGCAGGUUAGUGAGGCUGAUUCUUUUAAAUAUAACUAGAAAUUUUCCUUAGAAUGCCUUUUUUUUUUUUUUUUUUAAAUAAACACUCCACCAAAUGUGGGGCUGGAACUCAUGGCCGGGAGAUCAAGAGUCACAUGCUCUACUGACUGAGCCAGCCAGGAGAACCAAAUUUUUUGAGUUUUUGACACUGUAUAAAACCUAUAGAUAAACAUUUUACGUAACUUAUUUUAAAUUUUCUUUUAGGGUUUAUUUUUGAGAGAGAGAGCACACACAAGUGGGGCAGGGGCAGAGAGAAGAGAACAGAGGAUCCGAAGCAGGCUCUGUGCUGACAGCAGCAAGCUGGAUGUGGUGCUUGAACUCACGAACUGAGAAAUCUGAAGUUGGACGCUCAACCAGCUAAGCCACUCAGGUGCCCCUUAUGUAACUUAUUUUCGAUUCUGUGUUGUGGAUUAUCAAAUACCAUAGUUAGCACAUGUCUUAUUAAAUCAUAUCAAAAAUACUUCUUCCAUCUGUAUAAGUUUCUGAUGUUGCGUAAAGUUACCAUGAACCACACACUUGGUAGCUCUAAACAGCAUACGUUUAUUAUUGCAGUUUCCAUGGUUACGGAGGUUUUAACUGAAUCUGCUACUCAGGGUCUCACAGUCUGCAGUCAAGGUGUACUCUGGGGGGUUGGUCUCAUCUGAGGCUUGGGGUUCUAUUUCAAGCUCACUGAUUGUUGACAGAAUUCAGUUUGGCAGUUGUAGGACUGAGGAGCCACCUUUCUUGCUGAUGACAGCUGGGAUCCACUCUGUUCCUAGAGGCCCCUGCAGUUCCUUGUCAGGUGGCCAGCUCACAAGGUGGCCAGGUUACCUCUCAGAAGCCAGCAGGAGAAUCACUCCAGUGAGCUAAAACGGGUUUAUAGAGGGGCGUCUGGGUGGCUCAGGAGGUUAAGCGGCCAAUUCUUGAUUUCUGCUCAGGUCAGGAUCUCAUGUUUUGUGAGAUCAAUCUCCCCUUCCGGCUCUGUGCUGGCAGCACAGAUACUGCUUGGGAUUCUCUCUGUCUCUGUCUCUGUCUCUCCCUCUCUCUCUCUGCCCCUCCUGCUCAUGCUCUCUCUUUUUCAAAAAUAAGUAAACUUUUAAAAAAUUUUAAAACAGGUUUAUGCAAUGUGAGUUAAUCAAAGGAGGAGCUAUCCUACGUAUUCAUAGGCCCCGCCCAUACCUGGGAGAAAGGAUGAUAGAUACAGAAGGGCAGAUAUUCUAGGGAAUAUCUUAGAAUUCUGCCCUCCCCCCCACCAUCUUCAUCUCAUUCCCAUUUUUAAAAGGUUUAGAGGUGCCUGGGUGGCUCAGUCCGUUAAGCAUCCAACUCUCAGUUUUGGCUCAGGUCAUGAAUUCAGUUUUGUGGGUUCCAACCCCACAUCAGGCUCUGCACUGACAGUGCAGAGCCUGCUUGGGACUCUCUCUCCCUGUCUCUCUGCCCCUCCUCAGCUCAUUCUGUCUCUCUCAAAAUACAUAAACUUAAAAAAAAUUUUUUUAAUGAAAUGUUUAAAAAUUUCUGCCUUCUAUUACCAAAAUACAAAAUUGUAUUUUAGUGGCUAGAGCAGCUGAUUAAUUUUUAGCAUGAUAUAACUUCUUCUUUUUGCUAUAAUACACAGGGAAAAUGUGAUGAUGGUGUCUAGAAAAAUUAGCAGAAUAAUUUAGGAUCCAUAUUUAACUAAUGGAAUUAUUUCAUAAUCCUUAUUUAACUAUUCCUUCAAAACUAUAUCAGAGACCAAUAUGCAUAUAUAAAUUUGCUUAAGAAUGCCACAUUUUUAUAAAUAAUUUUAGCUGUAUAUUAUAUUGUAUUAUUAUAAAUUAAGUAAUAAAAGCCUUAGAUAAGGAUCAUGUUGAGGCACCUGGGUGGCUCAGUUGGUUAAGCAUCUGACUUUGGCUCAUGUCAUGAUCUCAUGGUUUUUGAGUUCAAGCCCCAUAUUGGGCUCUGUGCUGACAGCUCAGAGCCUGGAGCCUGCUUCAGAUUCUGUCUCCCUCUCUCUCUGCCCAACCCCUGCUUAUAUCUGUCUGUCUGUCUCUGUCUCUCUCUCUCUCUCUCUCUCAAAAAUGAGUAAAUGUUAACAAUUUUUUUAAAAAGAUCAUGUUUUAUCAUUAUAAUAAAAAAUAAAUUAAUUUAUAUUACAUAAAAGUUGAUUUAGUCUUAUUUGGUUGCUUUUAAUAAUCUGUUUAAAUUAUACAUUCUUAGAAAAUUUUUUUCUUGAAGGGCACCUGCGUGGCUCAAUCGCUUAACCAUCGGAAUUAGGCUCAGGUCAUGAUCUUACAGUUCAUGAGUUUGAGCCCCACAUAGGGCUCUGUGCUGACAGCAUGGAGUCUGGAGCUUGUUUGGAGUUCUGUGUCUCCCUCUCUCUCUGCCCCUCCCCUGCCCCUGCUCACACUCUGUCUCUCUCAAAAAUAAAUAUUUUUAAAAAUUGCAAAAAAUUUUUUUCUUGGUUAAAUGUAUCAUUUCUGAAUCAGCACCUGACUUAAACCCACAAAGUUCAAGGGAGAAUAUCCUCUUCCAGAAAGUCAUGUGCUUCCUAGAACAGGGUUUUGGCUACUUGGAAUUUCACCAGUUACCUGCAGGUGAUAUUUAAUCUUCAUGGUGAUUUUUCUUUCAUAAGAAUAUGGUAAAUUAAUUGCAAUUUUAAUUAUCUACUUUAUUUCUUUUCUUUACUACUACCAUCAUAAAUUUAAGUGAUGUAUUAAUUUAACUAUUUAGUGGAUUUGCAGUCUAACUAAUACACACACACACACACACACACACACACACACACAUAUUUUAAAAUAAUCUCUAUUCCCAAUGCAGGGCUUGAACUGAGGACCAUGAGAUCAAGUGUCGCAUGCUGUACCGACUGAGCCAGCCAGGUACCCUUAACCAGCUUAUAUUUUAAUUAUAAUUGCAAGAGAUGCUAUAUUUCAAAAUCUCACCUACCACACAAAAAAAACAGUUUUCUCAUGUGAAUGCCUUCUGUAUGAAUGAUAAGUGAUAUAUUCCCCGAGUUCUAUGCGGUCAGGAAUUGUAUAUUUCUUCUCCAUGUUCAUACCCAUUUAUGCAUCAUUAUGUACUUGGUUGCUUUUUUUUUCUUUUCUUUUCUUUUUAAGUAAUUUCUGCAUUUGACAUGGGGCCUGAACUCCAGACCUCAAGAUCAAGAGUCACAUGCUCUACCAACUAAGACAGCCAGGCACUCUGUAUUACAUUAUGUAUAUAGUGGAUACUUUGUAGUAUCGAUGAAAUGAUCAAUUGAAGACUAAGUAAAAUAUAUUUACUUUUUAAUAUACUUUUUAAUGUACUUAAAAUAUACUUUUUAUUUUAUUUUAUAUUUUAUGAAAUAUACUUUAAUAUACUUAAAAUAUAAAAAUAUACUUUUUAAUAUACUUUAAAAGCUUAUCACCAAAUAGGUGAGAUAAUACAAAUGCACAAACAACUAUUAUGAUGCAAGAUGUGUAAAGUAAAAAAUAUCAUGUACCAGUUUCUAUAGAAACAGAGAGAAAUAUUCAAAUAUGAAAAUAAGUGAAGAUUUCAAGGUAGAAUUAAUAUUAGUGAUAAAGGAGAUUUAAAAAAUAGGUCCCAGGGUGCCUGGGUGGCUCAGUCAUUUAGGCAUCUGACUCUUGAUUUCAUCUCAGGUCCUAAUCUCACAGGUCCAUGAGUUUGAGUGCCACAUCAAGCUCCAUGAUAAAAGUGUGAAGCUUGCUUGGGAUUCUGUCUCUCUCCCUCUCUCUCUGCUCCUCCCCCAUUAAUUCUCUCUCUCUCUCUUUCUCUCUCUCUCUCUCUCACUCUCAAAAUAAAUAAAUAAACUUUAAAACUAAAAAAUAGGCCCCAAUAAAGUUUUAAAUCAAACAUAUUUGAUAUUAUUUGAACCAAUAAAAUUAGGUAGAAAUGUCUGAGGGCUCCAUAAAAGAGGUGUAAGUGGCAAAGAUGUUUCCGAGAAAACAUUAUCACCUGGAUUUCUGUCCAUUUCUUGAUUCUUCAGGGGCUGGCCUAAUAAUCACAGCAUACCUUGAUUUUGCUCAGGGGACUUCGACAUGUCUUUGAGCUGAGCCAGUGCCUCUUCAGAAACCCACAAGGUAAGCAGAAAGCAGAUCGUUCUGAUCCAUUGUCUCUCAAGUAUGGGGUAAUUAUUGUGAAUGAGUAAAUACCAUGCUUCCCAGCAUUAGGAAUUGGGAAAGAUAGAAGAGAAUAUUACUCAUCUUAGUUUUCUCCUUUGGGUUUCUGACUCUUCCUUUGAGGCACUAGUACCAAAACUUACUUGGCUAUAGGAAUGAUUAUGAACUUUAUGAUUCAUUAAAAAAAACAUUUAUUGAGCUCCAAUGUUAAUACUAGACAUUGAGUAAAAAGCUGAAGCCAAAAGUGAAAAAAAAUAGGUGGUCAUUGACCCUACAGAGUGGAAAAGAGGAGACACUCAUUUAAGUUUUGUUUUUAUUAAAAAAAUAUUUUUUAACAUUUAUUUUUGAGAGAGAGAAAAUGAGCAUGAGUGGGGGAGGGGCAGAGAGAGAGAGGGAGACAGAAUCCGAAGCAGGCUCCAGGCUCCGCGCUGUCAGCACAGAGCCUGAUGCGGGGCUCAAGCAUGUGAACCAUGAGAUCAUGACCUGAGCCAAAGUCGGACGAUUAACCGACUGAGCCACCCAGGUGCCCCCUCAUUUAAGUUCUUAUAAUAUUAUUAAAUAUCUUUGAAAGUCUUGUUAUAUUUUAAAUAAGUUAUUUAGAGAUGUAAUAGUUUGUAUUUUAGUAAUUUGUGAGUUGAUCUUAUGAAGCAUGAGUGAUCAAGUGUUUUUUUGUUUCUUCAUUUAUUCUUUCUUUUUCAUUGAGGUAUCAUUGACAUAUGAUGUUAUAUUAGUUUCAGGUAUACAACUUGAUAAUUUGAUAUAUGUAUAUAUCGGAAUAUUGUGAAAUAAUUACCAUAAUAAGUCUUGUUAACAUCUGUCACCUACACAUUGUUACAGAUAUUUUUCUUGUGAUGAGAACUUUUAAGAUCUGCUCUCUUAGCAACUUCCAAAUAUACAAUGCAGUAUUAUUAACCAUAGUCAACAUGCUGUACAAUACAUCACCCAAGACUUAUUUAUUUAUUUAUUUUUUUACUGUUUAUUUAUUUUUGAAAGAGAGAAACAGAGAGUACAAGUGGGGGAGGGGGAGAGAGCGGGAGAGAGAGAGAAUCCCAAGAAGGCCUGGCAUUGUCAGCAUGGAGCCCAACGCAGGGCUUGAUUUCACAAACCGUGAGAUCAUGAACUGAGCCGAAAUCAAGAGUCAAACACUUGACUGACUGAGCCACCUAGGCACCCCAGUAGUGUGGUUUUUAGAAUGUAGCAAAAGCUACAAUUUCCUCAGGAAAAUGAGGUUGGUUGUGAGGUUCAAACAAGAACCAUGAGAAGAGGCUUAGAAACUGUGAAAGGUACUAAUCACCAUUAGUAGUAGUAGUAGUAGACCCUGUUUUAGAGCCUCCCCUAGUGGUAAUGAGCUGGGAAGUGUUUAAUAUAUUAAAUACAACUAUAUGCUCAACCGACUGAGCCACCCAGGCGCCCAUAAAUAUAACUAUAUGCAAUAUACUUUACUCGGAAGACAAAUCAGCAUUGUCUUCAAUAGUAUCAAGAAUGGCAUCAAAUUUGGGGCACCUGGGUGGCUCAGUCGGUUAGGCAUCCGACUUCAGCUCAGGUCAUGAUCUCACAGUCUGUGAGUUCAAGCCCCAUGUGACACUCAGAGCCUGGAGCCUGCUUCCGAUUCUGUGUCUCCCUCUCUCUCUGCCCCUCCCCCGCUCAUGCUCUGUCUCUCUCUGUCUCAAAAAUAAAUAAAAACAUUAAAAAAAUUUUUAAAAAAGAAUGGCAUCAAAUUUGGGGCACCUGGGUGGCUCAGUAGGACAAGCGCCCAACUUUGGCUCAGGUCAUGAUCUCACCACUCAUGGGUUCAAGCCCCGAGUCAGGCUUUGUGCUGACAGCAAGCAGCCUUAAGCCUGCUUCAAAUUCUGUGUCUCCCUCUGUCUCUUCUCUGCCCCUCCCCCACUUGCUCUCUCUCUCUCUCUCUCUCAAAAAUAAAUAAAACAUUAAAAAUUAAUUUUUAAUUUUUUUUAGGUUUAUUUACUUUGAGAGAGACAGAGACAGUGCAAGUGGGGGAAGGGCAGAGUGAGAGAGAGAGAGAGAGAGAGAAUCCCAAGCAGGCUCCACAUCUCCAGUGCAGAGCCUGACUCGGGACUUGAACUCACUAGGCAAGAUCAUGACCUGAACCGAAACCAAGAGUUGAAUGCUUAACUGACUGAGCCACUCAGGGACCCCACAUUUAAAAUUUUUUUAAUGUUUUAUUUAUUUAUUUUGAAGGAGAGAGAGAGAGAGAGAAACAGAGAGAGCAUGCCAGCAGGGGAGGGGCAGAGAGAGAGGGAGACAGAGGAGGAUCCGAAGUAGGAUGCUUGCUGUCAGUGCAGAGCCCUAUGUGGGGCUCCAACUCAUGAGCCAUGAGAUCAUGACCUGAACCAAAAUCAAGAGUCCAAGGCUUGACUGACUGAGCCACCUAGGCACUGCUAAAUUUUUUAAUUUUUUAAAAAAUUUAAGCAUAGCUGACACACAAUGUGACACACAUUACACUAAUGCAAUUAGUUUCAGGUAUACCAGCUAGGGAUUCAACAAGUUUGUAUGUUACAUUAUCCUCACCACAAGUAUGGCUCUUAUAAAAUGUUCUUACAAUAGUUAUCACAGUGCAUAUGAACAUAACUUCUUGUUGAGAAAUGAAGACGUUUUCUGAAAGAAAGUAAAUCCAAUUUUGCUGGUUAGAUUGAUAAUGAGGACUAGCUUUGAAACUUCUUUAUGUGUUGGGAAUUUUCUAUACCUAUACUGACCAACACAGUAGGCUUUACCCAUGUGUAGCUAAGGUUAACUGUGGAAUUGAAUUUUUUUAAGUUUAUUUGUUUAUUUUGAGAGAGAGAGAGCGUGCACACACACAUGCAAGCAGGAGAGAGAGAGAAUCCUAUGCAGGCUCUGUGCUGUCAGCGCAGGGCCUGAUGCAGGGCUCAGACUCAUGAACAAUGAGAUCAUGACCUGAGACAAAAUCAAGAGUUGGAUGCUCAACCAACUGAGCCAAUCAGGUGCCCCUGGAAUUGAAUGUUUAAUUUAAUUUAAUUUUUUUGAGGGAGAGAGUGCACAGGGGGUAGGGGGAGGGAGACAGGAAGAGAGAGAAACCCAAGCAGGCUCCCUGCAGUCAGUGUGGGAGCCUGAUUCCACAAACAGUGAGAUCAUGACCUGAGCCAAAAUCAAGGGUCAGACAUUUAACCGACUAAGCCACCCAGGUGCCUCACAGGAGAGAGAGAAUUCCAAGCAGGCUCCAUGCUCAUUGUGGAGCCCAACACAGGGCUCCAUCUCACCACAGUGAGAUCGUGACUUAACCUGAAAUUAAGAGUCAGACAUUUAACUGACUGAGCUACUCAGGUGGCCUGAUUUUUCAAUUUUAAAGUUAAAAACCAAAACAGUGUAAAUUUUAUUAUAUUUUUGAAAUGAUGAUAUUUCUAUAUAUUGAUCUCAAUGAAAUACAUUUUUAAAUUCAUUUUACCAGUCUCCUUUAACUUUUUUUAGUGUGGCUACUGGAAAAAUUAGAAUUAUGUAUGUGACUCACAUUCUGUUUCUGCUGGACAUCACUGUUCUGUACGUUGUCUGAACUAAAUCUGGAACUUCAAUGUUUCAACAAAAAUAUAUUCAAGCUAUUUGAUAAGAUAAAAGAAUGUUACCAAAAAUUUUGUAUAGAAUUUAACAAUAUUUAAUAUUCUAACCUUUCCUUAUUAAACAAGGUACCUCUAAUAGAAGAAUAUUGGAUACAAUUUGCUAAACUUUCUCACAAAAUGAGAAAGUGAAUGACUCUAAUAACUGAGUAACAAUUUUUUUGGGGGAGUCAGGUAUUUUCUAAUUCUUUCCUACCAAAAUCCAAAGGAAGAACUAAUACAAUUGGUAGCUAUUUGAUCAUUAAGAAUAAUUUUUGAAAAUAGAAAAUUAUGUGAUUUUUGGUAUAUAACUAGGAAGAAGUUCAAAGAAUUGGAUGACGGCAAUAACAAAAUUCCUUCCAUUUAUGUCUACUCAUAUAUGUGGACAAGGUUUCUCAGAGCUGAUUGAUGUUGAAUCUGUCUCAUUCUAGUAAUAACUAAUAUUCAUUCACAGAUACUUAAGCUAAUUGAAAAAAAUUUUAAGUCCCAUUCGUGUCAAUAAGAUAUGCAAUUCUGGGCUGCCUGGGUGGCUCAGUUGGUUGGGCAUCUGAUUUCGGCUCAGGUCAUGAUCUCACACUCCAUGAGUUCAAGCCCUGCAUCAGGCCCUGUGCUGACAGCUCAGAGCCCCUCCCCUCCUCAUGUUCUGUCUCUCUCUCUCUCUCCUUUAAAAGUAAAUAAACAUUAACAAAAAAUUUUUUAAAAAGAUAUGCAAUUCCAAUAAAAUUUUUUUCUUUCUUUUUUUUUUUAAGUUUAUUUAUUUUGAGAGAGAGAAUCACAGGCAGGCUCUACAUUGUCAGCACAGCGCCCCACACGAGACUUGAACUCACGAACCAUGAGAUCAUGACCUGAGCCAAUAUCAAGAGUUGGUCCCUCAACUGACUGAGCUACCCAGGCACCCUAAAUUUUAUUUUUUCUUAAUAAUUAUUUAUCAUAAUUAUAUUAAUGUUAUUUUAAUCAAUUGUAUAAUAGUAAUAAUGGUAACAAUAUCUCAAUCCAGAAGAAAUGUUUUUAACACUCAGGUGGUUUUUUAAAUGAAAUUAUAUGUAUCAGUAUAUAUAGUACAAAAGUAUGAUAUGUGAUCAAUAAAAGACUUCAAGAGGGGUGCCUGGGUGGCUCCGUUGGUUAAGCAUCUGACUUCAGCUCAGGUCAUGAUCUCACAGUUCAUGAGUUUGAGCCCCGCAUCGGGCUCUAUGCUGACAGCUCAGAGCCUGGAGCCUGCUUUGGAUUCUGUGUCUCCCUCCCUCUCUCUCUGCCCCUUCUUCCCUCUCUCUCUCUCUCAAAAAUAAACAAACAUUAAAAACAUUUUUUAAAUAAAUAAAACACUUCAGGAGUUCUGGUACUGGGCCAAGAUAGAGUAAUCCCACUACAGCCUAUCUUUCUCAAUGAUUACAACUAAAAACUCUGGACAAAAUACAUAAAGCAACAUAUCUGCUACUUAAAACAUAGUAGCAGAUAGAUUGAGGAGGGGAACCAAAGCUGAAGAAAAACACAUACAGUUUCCCACAUUUUCCUCUUUUUUCUCUUUGUUUUGACUCAAAGACAGCCACAUAACUAUACAUAACUGUACAGUUGAUACAGGUAUCAAAAACCCCUAGAGAAAUCCUACAUUUCUGGUCAGAAGAGCAGGAAAGGGGUUCCUAUAAGCAAGAGAGUAUGGAGCAAUCCUCCUUGUUGUUGUUUUUUUCUUUUGCCUUACCCCAAGGACAACCCCAGUCACAGAGCUGUAUUGUGGUGGCAGUGGCACAGGCAUUUAAAAUCCCAGUGAGAAAUCUUUCAGUCCAGAGGAACUAAGAUAAAGUGAACCUGUGAUCUGAAAGUGUGUGUGUGUGUGUGUGUGUGUGUGUGUGUGUAGGGAAUCCCCCUUAUGUUUUUCUUUCUUUUCUCUAAUUGCUUUGCCCCAAUGUUGGUCCCAAUCAUGCAGAAUUGUGUGACAGCUAAACCUCCAAGACAAAGCUCAUUUUUCUAGUCAGAGAACUAAAGAAGGGGACUGUGAUAGCUGGAGAGUGUGGGGAAAAUCUGAAUAUGGGAGAGGUGGAGAAGAGACUCCCUUAUUUCUGAUUAAUAAAAGUGAUAAACCUCUGGCAAUACUGACAAGAAAAAUGAGAGAAGACACAAAUUAUCAUUAACAGGAAUGAAAGAGGGGAAACAUUACUACAGACUCUACAGACAUCCAAAAGAUAAUGACAAUACUGCAAGCAAGUCCCAUAAAUCAAAUUACCAAGAGAAAUAGACCAAUUCUUUGAAGGACACAAAGAACCAAAACUCACAUAAGAAGAAAUAGAUAACCUGCAUAAUUCUAUAUUUAUUAAAGACAUUGAAUUUGUAAAAAUCCUCCAACAAGGAAAAUUUCAGUCUAACAAACAUUUAAGGAAGAAGUAAUACCAGUAAAUAGAAGGGAAUACUUUCCAACUUAUAUUAGGAAUCCUGUAUUACUCUGAUUUCCCAAACCAGAGAAAGAGUACAAGAAAUUAAAGCAACAGAUCAGUAUCAUUAAUGAACAUAGAUGAAACAAUCUUCCACAAAACAUUAGCAAAUGGAAUCUAGUAGGAGUUAUCCUGGGAAUGCAAGGCUGGCUCAACACUCAAAAAUCAACCAAUGUAACUCAUCAUUUCAACAGACUAAGGAAGAAAAGGUAUAUGAUCAUCUCAAUAGGUGCAGAAAAAUCAUUUAACAAUUCAACAUUUAUUUAUGAUUUUAAAAAAACUCUCAGCAAACUAUGGAUAAAAGGAACUUUCUCCUGAAAGAGAAUGUCUACAAAACAUUGCAGCUAAUAUACAUAAUAGGAAAGACUGAAUGCUUCUUCCUUAUAUCUGAAGAAGGCAAGGAUGUCUGCUCUUAUUCACAUUAAACAUUUUAUUGGAAAUUAUAACCAGUGCAAUAAAGCAAGAAUAAGAAAAGACAUAUAGAUUUGAAAAGAAAGAAUAAAACUAUCUCUAUUCUCAGACAAUAUGAUUGUCUAUGUAGACAUCAAGGAAUCUACAAAAAAGCUCCUAGAACUAAUAAGUAAGUUUAGUAAAGUCACAGAUUAUUAGGUUAAUAUUAAAAAUCAAGUGUAUUUUUAUAUUCUAGGAAUGAACAAUUAGAAUUUAAAAUUUUUAAAACUACUGGAGCACCUGGGUGGCUCAAUUGGUUAAGCGUCCAACUUUGGCUCAGGUCAUGAUCUCAUGAGUUUGAGCCCCGCAUCGGGCUCUGUGCUAACAGCUCAGAGCCCAGAGCCUGCUUCAGAUUCUGUGUCUCCCUCUUUCUCUCUCUCUCUACCCCUCCUCCACUCCAGCUGUCUCUCUCUGUCUCAAAAAAUAAACAUUAAAAAAAAUAAAAAAAUUUAAAGUACGAUUCAAAACAAUAAAUAAAAAUUAAAAAAUAAAAAAGUAACCACUUAUAAUAGUACCCCAAAAAUAUAAUCUCUAGGUAUAAGUCUAACAAAAUAUGUGCAGGAUCUAUAUACUGAAAGCUACAAAACACUGAUGGAAGAAAUUAAAGUCUAAAUAAGUAGGGAGAUAUGCUAUGUGAGAAUAUUAGAACAUUUAGUAUUGUUAUGAUAUUGAUUCUCUCCAAAUUGAACUAUGGAUUCAAUGUGAUCACAGUCAAAAUUUCAGCCUGGUUUUUUAGAUAUAUAUGGGCAAGCUUAAUAUAAAAUUUUAUAUGAACAGGCAAAGGAAUUAGAAUAACCCAAGCAAUUUUGUAGAAGAGCAAAGUUGGAGGGCUGCUACUACCAGAUUUUUUAUAAAAUGUUUAUUUUGAGAAAGAGAGUGCCUGCUCAUGUGUGAGGGGUGGAGGGGCAGAGGGUGAGGGAGAUAGAGAAUUCCAAGCAGGCUCCAUGCUCAGCACAAAGCCUGAUGCAGAGCUGGAUCUCACAACUGUGAGAUCAUGACUGUGAGAUCAUGACCUGAGCCAAUAUCAGGAGUCAGACACUUAACCAACUAAGCCACCCAAGCACCCCUGCUACUAUCAGAUUUUAAGAUUUAGUAUAAAGUUAUACAAUCAAGAUAGCAUACUAUUAGUGAAAGACAUAUGCAUCCAUGGAACGGGAUCGAGAUCUGAAAGAGACCCACACAAAACCCACAACUGAUUUUUGACAAAUGUGCAGAGUCAACUCAACAGAGAAAGACAGUAUUUUCUAGCAGUAGUGAUGGAACAACUAGAUAUCCAUAGGCAAACAAUAAGAAAACAAAAACAAAAGGCACUUUGACCGAUACUUCACAUACUUUAUACAAAAACUAGCCCAAAAGAAGUGGACAGAAAUGUAAAGUUACAACCAAAAAACUUAUGGAAGAAAAAUAUAAGAAAAUAUUUGUGGCCUUGGGUUAAGCAAAGGGUAGUUAGAUAUAAUACCAACAGCAAAAUUCACAAAAGAAAAAAAUGAUAAAUUGAUCUUCGUUAAUAUUAACCUCUGCUCUGUAAAGAAAGGGAUCUGGUUAAGAGAAUGAAUGACAGGCUGCAGACUGGGAGAAAUAUUUGCAAAUCACAUAUCCAACAAAGGACUUUAAUCCAAAAUAUGUAGGGAAUUUACAAGACACAACAAAACCUUAUGACAAAAGAGCCAAGAAUAUGCAGUAGGUAAAGGAUAGUCUCUUCAGUAAAUGGUGUUGGGCAGGGCACCUGGAUGGCUCAGUCGGUUAAGUGUCUGACUUCAGCUGAGGUCAUGGUCUCAUGGUUCAUGUGUUCGAGCCGAGUUGGGGUCUAUGCUGACAGCUCAGAGCCUGGAGCCUGCUUCAGGUUCUGUGUCUCCCUCUCUCUGCACCUCCCCCGCCUGUGCUCUGUCUCUCUCUCUCUCUCUCUCAAAAAUAAAUACACCUUAAAAAUAAGAAAAUGGUAUUGGAAAACUGGACAUUCACAUUCAAAAGAGUAAAGCUGGACCACUAUCUUUUACCAUAUACAAUUAUCAACUCAAAAUGGAUUAAAGACUUGAACAUAGGGGCGCCUGGGUGGCGCAGUCAGUUAAGCGUCCGACUUCGGCCAGGUCACGAUCUCGCGGUCCGUGAGUUCGAGCCCCGCAUCGGGCUCUGGGCUGAUGGCUCGGAGCCUGGAGCCUGUUUCCGAUUCUGUGUCUCCCUCUCUCUCUGCCCCUCCCCCGUUCAUGCUCUGUCUCUCUCUGUCCCAAAAAUAAAUAAACGUUGAAAAAUUAAAAAAAAAAAAAAAGACUUGAACAUAAAACCUAAAAUCAUAAACUUCCUAGAAGAAAACGUAGGGAGUAAACUCCUAGACAUCAGUCUUAGAGAUGAUUUUUUUGAAUUUGACACCAAAGCAAAAGCAACAGAAGCAAAAAUAAACAAGUGGCACUACAUCAAACUAAAAACUUUCUGAAUAGCAAAGGAAAGCAUCAAUGAGAUGAAAAGGUAACCUACAGAAUAUGAAACACUAUUUGUAAAUCACAUAUUUGAUAAAAGGUUAAUACCCAAAAUAUAUAUUAAAAAAAAACUCAGACAACUCAAAAGAAAACAAACAAUCCAAUUAAAAACUCAGCAGAGGAUCUGAAUAGACAUUUUUCCAAAAAGGACAUACAGAUGGCUAACAGAAAUAUGAAAAGGUGCUCAGCAUCACUAAUCAACAAGGAAAUGCAAAUUAAAACCACAAUGAGAUAUCACCUCACACCUGUUAGAAUGACUGUCCUCGAAAAGAUAAGAGGUGCACCUGAGGGGCUCGGUUGGAUGAGCAUCUGACUCUUGAUUUUGACUCAGAUCAUGAUCUCACGGUUUGUGAAAUCGAGCCUCCCUUUUUGGGCUCCAUGUUGACAGCUCAGAGCCUGCUUGAGAUUCUCUCUGUUCCUCUCUCUUCUCCUCCCCACUCAUGCUCUCUCUCUUUCUGAAAAAAAGCAAGUAAACGCUUAAAAAUUAAAUAAAUAAAUAAAUAAAUAAAUAAAUAAAAAUAAAGAUAAGAGAUAUUAAGUGCUAGGAAGGAUGUGGAGAAAGGGAACCCUUGUGUACAUUGUGGGAAUGCAGCUACAAUGGAAAACAGUAUGGAGGCUCCUCAAGAAAAUAAAAAUAGAAUAACCAAAUAAUCCAGUAAUUUCACUCUGGGAAUUUAUGCAAAGAAAAUGAAAUCACUAUCUUGAAAGAUAUCUGCACCCGCCAUAUUCACUGCAGCAUUAUUUAUAGUAGCCAAAACAUGGAAACAACCUAAGUGUCCAUCGAUGGAUGAAUGGAUAAAGAAAAUGUGAAAUAUGACAUAUGUGAAAUAUUGUUCAGCCAUAAAAAAGAGGGAAAUCCUGCCACUUGCAACAACAUGGAUGAACCUUGCGGGCAUUAUACUAGGUGAAAUAAGUCAGACAGAAAAAAGAUUAAUAUUGUAUGAUUUCAGAGGCACCUGGGUGGCUCAGUUGUUAAGCAUCUGACUUCGGCUCAGGUCAUGAUCUCAUGGUUCAUGGGUUCGAGCCCCUCAUUGGGCUCUGUGCUGACAGGUCAGAGCCUGGACUAUGCUUUGAAUUCUGUGUAUCUCUCUCUCUCUCUCUCUCUGCCCCUCCCCCACUCAUGUGGGCCCACCUGCGCACAUGCGUGCACUCUCUCUCAAAAAUAAAUAUUUUUAAAAAUAUUGUAUGGUUUCAUUUACAUGUGGAAUCUAAAAACAAAAAAAACCCAAAUGCAUAAAAACAUUUUGAUGGUUGCCACAGGCAGGGGGUGGGUGAAAUGGAUGAAGAUGAUCAAAAGACACAAACUUCCAGUAUGAAUCCUAGGGAUGUAAUGUACAGUAUGGUGACUUUAGUUAAUGUAACUGUAUUAUAUAUUAAAAAAUUGCUAAGAAAGUAAGGCUAAAUACAUAUGUGCAAAAUUUUGUAGCUAUGUGUGGUGGUGAAUUAACUAAAUUCUGGUAAUCAUUUUGCAAUAUAUUUAUCUAUCAAAUCAUUAUGUUGUACAACUAAAACUAAUACAAUGUUAUAUGUAAAUUAUAGUUCAGUAGAAAAAAAAGAGGAAAAAAAGAAAACAAACAAUGCAAUACAAAGUACAAGAUUGUGGGGUGCCUGGGUGGCUCAGUUGGUUAGGCGUCCGACUUCGGCUCAGGUCAUGAUCUCAUGGUUUGUGGGUUCGAGCCCCGCAUCUCGCUCUGUGCUGACAGCUCAGAGCCCAGAGCCUGUUUCAGAUUCUGUGUCUGCCUCUCUCUUUGCCCCUCCCCCACUCAUGCUCUGGCUCCCUCUGUCUCAAAAAUAAAUCGACAUUAAAAAAUUAAAAAAAAACCAAAGUACAAGAUUGAUAAAUUAGUCUGCAUUAAAACUAAUGCUUCUGUUCAUCAAAAGACACCAUUAAAGAGGUGGAUGCAUUUGGUGAAAAGCUAAUAGGAAACUUUAUAAAGUUAUAAUGAAUGGAUCCAGCUGACGAACUGGCCAUGUAGCUAGAUUUCAUUAAAUGCUUGUCAUGGUCUUCUGUUUGCCCUCAACUCCAUUCUGUCACCUUGAAUGAUAAAAUUUCCCAGGAUUCCUUGUGUGUAGCCACUUGACUGUUUCCAGACAGUUGAAUGGGAGAAGUAGUAGCAUCAUUUCCAGGACUGGCCCAUAAAACCUUUCAACAGAUGUUACUUAAUUUCCUUUGCCUGUCCAAUGGCAAAGCUACAAGAUAAAAGGGACAAGGGUCUCUUGGUCACUUUUUAAUGGAAAGCUGACCCCAGAAGCCAUCAGAUGAAAAACACCCAUGUAGGAUUGUUGUGUGAAUGAGAAGUAAACUUUUGCUGUAUUUAGCCAUUGAAAUCUCUGGAUGAUUAUUACAGCAGCUAGUCUACCCUACCACAACUCUGACAGUGGCUUUUUUACUGUGUUCUUUGGGGACCCUAAAUCUUCUUAAUGAUGCCUUGAGGGAUGUGGUAGAAACUUAGGGAGCCUACUUCAAUCAGAACAGCCCUCCUUUUAUAUAUUUAAGACAUAAUGUAUGACAUAUGAACACACACAUAUGAUACAUAAUGAUGCACAUGGUGAAGACUUCAAAAGGCACAAAGGGUUCUACAGUAAAAAAAAAAGUCUUUAUUUUUGAGGGAGAGAAAAAGAGAGAGAAAGAGAGAGAAGCAGGGGAGAGGAGCAGAGGGAGAGGGAGCGAAUCUCAAGCAGGCUCCACACUCAGUGCAGAGCUGGACAUGGGGCUCAAUCCCAUGACCGUGAGGUCAUGACCUGAGCCAAAAUCAAGAGUUGGGCACUUAACUGACUGAACCACCCAGGCACAUGCCCCACUACGCCCCCCACCUUGCCCGCCCCUGCCUCACCUGCAAAAUCUUUCACCUUUGUCUUCCAGUCUCCCAUUUGCAUGCCCUAGGAACAAGUUCUGUUACCCAUUUCCUGAGUUUAAGUGACGAUUCAUAUACAUAUAAACAAUAUGUACUGGUUGUAUGUUUAACCAAUUCCUUCUUUAAAUUUUUUUUUUUUCAAUGUUUUUAUUUAUUUUUGGGACAGAGAGAGACAGAGCAUGAACGGGGGAGGGGCAGAGAGAGAGGGAGACACAGAAUCGGAAGCAGGCUCCAGGCUCCGAGCCAUCAGCCCAGAGCCCGACGCGGGGCUCGAACUCACGGACCGCGAGAUCGUGACCUGGCUGAAGUCGGUCGCUUAACCGACUGCGCCACCCAGGCGCCCCAAACCAAUUCCUUCUUAAUGGCAAAUUAGUGUAUUUCCAAUCUUUUGCUAAUAUAAACCAUGGCACAAUAAAUACUCUUGAAUAAAAGUCAUUUUACACAUAUGCAAGUAUGUGGAUCUAUAAAAAUGGAUUUCUAGUAUUAGAAUUGCCAGAUUAAGAGGUAUAUGCAUUUUACAUUUUGAUUAACAGUGCCAAGUUGCUUUCCGUAGGGUUGUACUAAUUUCCAUUUUUACUAUUACUGUACAACUGGGUCUGGCUCUGCACAUUCUUUUCAAUGCAGCAUAUGAUCAAAUUUUGGUUCCUUACUACCUUGAUAAUGUGAAAAACGGCAUUUCAUUGUAAAUUAGUGAGUGUUUCUCUUUUCAUGAGUGAGGUUUUAUAUCUUUCACAUGUUUAAAAGCCACGUGCGGGGCGCCUGGGUGGCUUAGUCUGUUGAGCUUCCGACUUCGGCUCAGGUCAUGAUCUCACGGUCUGUGACUUCGAGCCCCGCGUCGGGCUCUGUGCUGACAGCUCAGAGCCUGGAGCCUGCUUCAGAUUCUGUGUCCCCUCUCUCUCUGACCCUCCCCCGUUCAUGCUCUGUCUCUCUCUGUCUCAAAAAUAAAUAAAACAUUUAAAAAAAAAUAAUACAUAAAUAAAAGCCACGUGCAUUCCCUUUUCUGUGAACCGAACUCUUCAUUUUCCUUAUUGAUUGGUGUGAGUCCUUUAAAUAUUAAAGGAAAUGGAUCUACAUUAUAUAAUAGGGUUAAGAUCUUUCAAUAGAUAAAUUCAGCUGCUAAAACCAAAGUUUGAAAAUCACCGCCUAUGCUGCUUUUUAACAUAGCCUUGCUAAUAAAAACCUUCCCCUCAUUCCCUUGGGAAUCUUUGUCAGUUGGAGUCCCAUCCAGUAUCACUUGCCCUGUGGUUGAAACUCUAGGACAGACUUUCUCAACUGUGGCACUGCUGAUGUUUUGGCUGGAAAAUUCUUUGUUAGGGGCUGCCCUCUGCAUCGCAGAAUGUUGAGAAGUAUGACUGGCCUCUAUCUGCUGAAUGUCAGUUGUACCUUCCCUACGUCCCCCACUAAAAAAUGUCUUCAGGGGCGCCUGGGUGGCUCAAUUGGUUAGGCGUCUGACUCUUGAUUUCUGCUCAGGUCAUAAUCUCACGGUUCAUGCAUCUGGCUGCAUCUGGCUCUGCACUGGCAGUGAGAAGCCUGCUUGGGUUUCUCUCUCUCCAUUUCUCUCUGCUCCUUCCCAGCUCGUGCACACGUACUCUCUCGCUCUCUCUUUUUCAAAUAAAUAAACAAGAAAAAAAUGUUAAAAAUCCUCUGGAGGGUAGGGGAGCAAAAUUGCCCCAGUUGAGAACCACUGGUCUAGGACUUUAUAUAGCUGGUGGAAGGCAGGCCACAUUAUCAGCCUAUCUAUUUGCUUUAGUUUGGACAUCCCACACAUCUCCCCAAAUGGUGUUUGAUAAUAUAUAGAAUACUAAGUUCUGUAUGGAAGUACAAUACUUGUAUUAUAAACUGAUCAAAAAGACUAAAUAAUAUACAUGAAACCAUAAAAGAAUAGCAUCUGCUAAACUUGUGGUUAUACCUUGGAAAUUUAAAAAGAAGUAGUUUAAGACAGGCAAGUCAGCUACCACUUAAGCCUCACAGGGUUGGAGGGGCUUGAGGAGACCCCCAGAAUCCAGAUUCUAGCCCUCAGACUGUAGUUUCAAAAAAUGGACCCUUUUUUCCUUUAUGUAUACAUAUGUGUAUAUAUGUAUAUGUAUGUAUAUAUGUAUAUAUAUAUAUAUAUAUAUAUAUAUAUACACAUAUAUAUAUUCUCAUUUUAAUAUAUGAAAUUUUAGCAAGAAACAUUUAUUGAUGUGUCCCUAACCCUCGUAUCUAUGCCUACCUCCUCUAUCAGGGAUGUUAAAAUGUUAACAUUUUGACAUUAACUUUCCAUACUUUUCCCAAGUCUGUACAGCCAUAUCUGUAUAGAGGUUUGUAUAUACGUAUUUAGGGGUCUUAUUUUUUAUUUAUUUAUUUUUUUAAGUAGCCUCCAUGCCCAGCACAGAGCCCAAAAUGGAGCUUGAACUCAUGACCCUAAGAUCAAGACUUGAGCUGAGAUCAAGAGUCAGAUGCUUUACUGACUGAGCUACCCUGGCACCCCCUAUAGGGAUUUUAAAAAUAAUAAAAAAGUGGGUAUUUGUUAAAUAAUAGAAAAGGUCAUAGUAUACACAUUUUUGUGCAACUUGCUUUGUCACAGUGCAUCAUGAACAUUUUUUGAGAUCAGUUAUAGAUCAUUUUAAUGGUUGAAUAAUAUGCCAUAGUAAGUGUAUACCAUAAUUUGAUCAACAGGUUUCCUACUGAAGACAUCUGGAUUGUUUCUUUUUUUUUCUUUUCCUGCAACAUCAAUACCAUAAUAAACAUUCUUGCAUUCAUGGCCUUACAUAUUCAUACUUUUAUUUUGUUAAGAUAAAUGGAAUUUUGGAUUGAAAGGUAUGUAUAUAUUUAUAGUUUUAAUAAAUACUCCAGAUUACUUUCCAAGACUAUAAUAGCAAUGUAUGAGAGUAUUAGUUCCCCCAUAUCCUGGUAAGCAAUAGAUGGCAAUAAUAAAAUUUGCUUUGUGUUUGCCUAUGUAAGAAAUGAAAAAUGGGUACCUCAUUGUUUUACUUGCAUAUCUGUGACUACUAAUAAAUUUGAGCAUAUUUUAAAUUUUUAUGUAGUCAAAUAUGCAUUUCAUUUUUUAAUUUAAUUUUUUUAUUUAAUUUAAUUUUUUUGGUGGAGCAUAUGGGGAAAUACAGAUUUUAUAUGGCUCCUGUCCUGGGGUGCCUGGGUGGCUCAGUUGGUGAAGCAUCUGACUUUUGAUUUUGGCUCAGGUCAUGAUCUCACAGUUUGUGAGUUCAAGCC